GCUUUUGAGGUUGCCCCGGAUAAGUUCGCCCGGGCAGGGGAUUCAUUUUUGACCGAGGCGGGGGCGGGUGCGUGAUCCCCUUUCGCUCACCUCUCUCGAGUGUCUGUUCGUGUUUUCUUUUCUUUUCUUCUUUUUUUUUUUCCUUUUUCACCGGUUUCGACUGGCUCAAAAUCCUGCGCCUCCCUGGACGAGGGAAUAUAAAGAAAUCAACGAGCGACCGUAGACCGGCUCUCGGGCUGUCGUCUGCUGCAAAAUGUCAGGAGAUGCACAGCCAAGGAAAAGGAGAGACAAACGAAGGAAAAAAGGACAUUUGGACCAACGACGUACCGAAGAAUAUGCUGAGGAAAGGGAGAUCAUAAGGAAAUUGAGCUGUGCUGAAGAGCCAGAUGAAGAAGAGAUUUUUGCAAAAUAUACACACCCUACUGAUGAAAUAGUUCAUGUACAUAAAGAUGACGGAGUUGGAGGCAAUGUCUUUACCAAGUUGAUAUUUUUCUUGCUAUUAGCAGGAAUAGGUGUUGUAGUUGGGCUGACGCUGAUAGAAUAUCGAGGAACCACUGAUGAAGAAGCUGGUUUGGUAAAAGAUACACAAUGGGUAGCAACAGUUCAAGAAUGGGUCUCCAUGGUACCAUUUUAUGGCGAAACAGAACAAGAAAGUCAUGCUUCCGAUGAACAUGAAGAACUAGAUGAACAUGACCAAGACGAUCAUGAUCACAAUGAACAUGAUCAAGACAAUCAUGAUCACAAUGAACAUGAUCUAGAUGAUCAUGGCCAUGAUGAUCAUGAUCAAGAUGAGGGGGAGAAGUCAAGUUGGUUUAGUCUCGAUUUUAGUAGCUUCGGUUGGGAAAAUAAAGAGACAGAGAGUUCUGAUGUGGAUGAAACUCCAUCAAGCUGGUUUAGUUGGGAUUUCAACUUAUUAGGUAGUUCUGAGAAAGAAGAAGGUGUCGAGAAACAGGCUUCUGGUGAAGAUGAUAACGAACUAGAAGAACAAGUGUCAGAAGAACUUGAAGAAGAGGAAGAAGAAGACAAUCUUUCUCAUGAUCAAGAAGUAGAGGAAGAAGAAGAGGAGGAGGAGGAUGGUGAGAAUGAUGAUCAGGAUGAGGAAGAGGAAUAUGAUAAAGAUGAUGAUCAAAUUGUUUCACAAGAAGAAGAUGAACAAGAAGGGCUUGAAAAUUUCUCUGAGAACCAGGAAGAAGAAGAGGAGGAAGAAGAAGAACAGGACCUACCAUUAGAAGAGGAAGAAAAUGUUUCUCAAGAAUAUGAGAAAGAAUUGUCUCAAGAGGAAGAUAAUGAAGAAGAAGAAGAGGUAGAACAAAGCGAGGAGCAAGAAACUUCCAGGACCUUCCUAGCAAAAAGUUUAAACAAAAUGGAAGACAAUCAAGAUGUUAGUGAGGAAGAAUUAUUUCCAGAGGCAAUUGAGGCUCUUAGAAGAGAAGCUUCAGAACUUUUAGAACAACAAGCAAAAUCUGAUAAAGAAGAGGUAGAGAAUGAUGAUGAAGAAGAUGAAAACAGAGAAGAUGAAGAAACAGAAGGAAUGGCUGUAAAAUUUGGAGUGGGUGUGGCUCUUAUUGUUGUCGCCCAUGUAGUUCUUGUUAAGAAAUGGAACAGUUGGGAAGAAGGGCAUCUCACAACUGAAAUGCCACAGAUGGUGGCAAGUCCACCAUCUCCUCCUGUUGAAGAACCUCCACCAUAUUCACCUCCAGUUGAGACACCGGCUACAGCUUUCAGUGAGCCUUCAUAUUUUGCAGAAUCUCUCACUCCAGAACCUAAAUUGCACCCAGAGGAGGAGGAAGAAUAUGAGGAAGAAGGCGAAGAAGAGGAAGAAGAAGAGAUGAGCGAAGACGAAGCGCCAAUCAAUCCAGACGUGUAUGAAAAGAUCAUCGCUAAGUAUGGCCAGCCAUCCCCCGAGAGCAGUGAUGUAGAGCAGUCUGACGAUGGUGACGGCCAAGAGUAUUCAGAUGGAGGAGAUGCUGAAAGUGUUGGCGAAGAGGAAAGUGGAAAUGAAGUAGAGGAAACUGAUCCAGAAGAUGAAGAGGAUGAAAAGCCAACAACAUUGAAAACUUCGGGAAAAGUAGAAGAAGAAUCUGAGGGAGAAUACGAAGAAGAAUCAGACGAUGAAGUAGUGCAAACUCCUGCUCCGAAACUUCAACCAACGCGUGGAGGAGGACCCAGGGCAACUGAAGAAGAGGUGUAUGUUAAUUCUGAUAUUACAAAUGAGGAGGAUUGGAAUGUAAGGCAGGAGCUGGACAUGGCAGAUGAGGAAUUUAACUUAGAACAUUUGGAUAAAGCAUUUGCGAUAUACGAGAGCGUGCUAAGAACUAGGCCUAAUUCCCCUCGUGCACUUCAUGGAAAAGCUCAAAUUCUCGAUAAACAAGCAGAAAUGAAACGGAGCAAUGCAAUACUACAGGAAGCCAUCCAAACUUAUUUAAUGGUUGUCAAUCAACCAAAAGUUCCUCCGACCCUUUUAAAAUUGGCAGCAUUAAGGUGUAUCAAUAGAAUAAGAUUUAGAGGACAAUACAUGCAAUCAAUUCCACUGCACAAAACUUUAAUAAGCACGUUUAAAAAUGAACCCGAUUAUCGAAACGACAUGGGCAUCACCUACCUUAUGGUAAACAGACUUCAGGAAGCUGGUGAUGUUUUCAAAUCAGUCCUUGCGAUAUGGCCUAAGGAUGCCAUGGCGAGAUCACAUUAUGGCCUUGUUCUUAAAUUGCAAGGAAAAAUGAAAGAAUCUAUUCCUCAUUUGAAAGAAGGCCUUUUGGCCGACAUUCCUGCUACUAGAGAUGCUAGGCUUUACUUUCAUCUUGGGGAUGCGCUGGCUCGAACAGGACAAUCAUCAGAGGCGAUGGAGCUUUGUAAGUACAUUAAUCAUAUGAAGUGUACUUUGAUCAUUGAAACUUCCAUUGUGGUCGAAGGUGUACUCCAGAGGAGUUGAAAAGGGCAUGUUCAGGUCCAAAUACCAGCGAUCGCUCUACAACAUCGACAAUUUGACAGCAAGGCCUUGGUGGACUCACGAACAGACCACUUACCAGAAUUUCUUCAAAAAACUUGAAUCCAAUUGGAAGAUUAUUCUUAAUGAAGGUUUGGCCGCCCUCAAAUCAAGAGGCGCGUUU
This 3107-nucleotide unclassified non-coding RNA is filed under the name Cimex lectularius (bed bug). RNAcentral describes it as "aspartyl/asparaginyl beta-hydroxylase, transcript variant X7". The record is from RNAcentral. Lineage: Eukaryota; Metazoa; Arthropoda; Insecta; Hemiptera; Cimicidae.